GUAACAAUCCGUUGAUGUGUUCAGAAAAUACAGCAUUUUAGCACAAAAUUCAAAAUGGCCGACAGUCAAAAUGGCCGAAAUGGUCAAAUUGGAUAUCAGUCGACUCGGCAUGUUGCCCUGAAUCUAACAAGACCAAUGUUAUGAUUUUUGGACAAACUGUUCAGAAGUUAUAAGCAAAAAUAGCAGUUUUUCAUAUCUCCGGAUCAGUAGGUGGCGCUGCGCCCAAUCACAGCAUGUUGCCUCAGGUCAUGCUUGUUAUGACAUGUACCAAGUUUGGUCUGAAUAGGAUAAGUCGUUGCCGAGAUACAGCCUUACGACUGUUUUUGUAAGCACUACAUAAAAUUUGUUAGAGCGUUUAUCGAAAACGGUUUGACGAAUCAAUUUGAUUUGCAUAACUUUUGGUCAGCACUGCCUGAGGAUGAUAUGGUUUAAUUUUCGUGUGAAUCGGACAAACCGUCUAGGACGAGUUCGAAAAAGUAGGUUUUUAAAGAAAUUCAAAAUGGCGGUCAUAUUUCUAUGACGGAAAUGACUUCGUAGGGUGCAAUCGAAUCGGCAUGAGCUCAGAAAUCAGAGGAAAAAAGAAUUUCGUUGAUUGGCCUUAGGGUUAAAAAGUUAUUAACAAAAUUAAAGUGAAAUUUUGGACAGUUGGUGGCGCUAGAGGGAUUGACUUAGACACACCAAAAUUGGUGUACUUAAUGUUGGCACUGUCCUCUAUCAGAAUGUCAAACCAUUACAACUUUCCCGCAUUCGGUUCUAUGGGCUGCCAUAGACGCCCAGUCGGAAGAAUAAUAAUAAUAAAUAUAGCUGCAAGCAGCAAUAACGGGGCCAAGCACUACAGAAGCAAGCUUCAGACGAACGGCAGGAAUGAGUAAUUAAGAAAGUUUUAAGAUUAUUUUAGGCAAAAUGGCUUGAAAACAAUAAACACAACAACUAGUAAUAGGAUUUAUUUGCUUAUCACGUGUAACCAAUAGGUGGCGCUGUUACCAAAUUAGUUUGGAAUGGUCAGUGUGAGGUGACGAUGACACAUACAAAGUUUGGUGCAAAUAUGUCAAAGCUUUGCUGAGAUACAGCCUCAAAUGCAUUUUGGAACCCUUCCAGCAGCUUCGUUGAUGCGCUAAAUGAGAACAGUUUCGUA
Carassius gibelio (silver crucian carp) is the source of this 1135-nucleotide long non-coding RNA. RefSeq lists it as uncharacterized. The transcript is spliced from 3 exons. Lineage: Eukaryota; Metazoa; Chordata; Actinopteri; Cypriniformes; Cyprinidae. The record is from RefSeq and is a predicted model, not a curated record.